This 151-nucleotide ribosomal RNA is filed under the name Hucho hucho (huchen). Its description in RNAcentral is "5.8S ribosomal RNA (ENSHHUG00000002915.1)". It matches the Rfam family "5.8S ribosomal RNA". Rfam says of the family: 5.8S ribosomal RNA (5.8S rRNA) is a component of the large subunit of the eukaryotic ribosome. It is transcribed by RNA polymerase I as part of the 45S precursor that also contains 18S and 28S rRNA. The record is from Rfam by way of RNAcentral. Lineage: Eukaryota; Metazoa; Chordata; Actinopteri; Salmoniformes; Salmonidae.
AACUCUUAGCGGUGGAUCACUCGGCUCGUGCGUCGAUGAACGCAGCUGGCUGCGAGAACUAAUGUGAAUUGCAGGACACAUUGAUCAUCGACACUUCGAACGCAUCUUGCGUCCCCAGGUUCCUCCUGGGGCUACGCCUGUCUGAGGGUCG